Molecule: long non-coding RNA, 2915 nt
Filed under: Homo sapiens (human)
Lineage: Eukaryota; Metazoa; Chordata; Mammalia; Primates; Hominidae
Description: non-protein coding lnc-CEP192-4:1
Source: RNAcentral
UGCUUUCCUAGAAGUCAGUGUCUUGUCCUGGGCUGUUGCUUUUCUGCUUGACUCCCUCUGUGGGCCGUGGACUCUGCGGCAGAGUCCUAUCUGCAGGGCUUCUGCAUGGUUAUCCAUUGUCUUCUGAAGAAAUGAUGAUGUUAGUGAUGGAGCCACUUUGGUUAGCGUUUUGUUAAGUAUGAACUUGUGAAUCCUUCCCACAGCUGUGCAAUAUUAUUACCUCCAGGGCACAGCAUCUGGACUUUAAUUGAUGAUGAGUGUAUGUGGCCCCAAGGGACAUGGGGCCUCGAAAUUAAGGAAGGAGCUGGAAGUAGUGGACAAGCAGCAGCACCACCACGUGGAAAGGUGAAAAGUUGGAUAAGGACUGGCUGAGAAAAUGCCAUCAGAAUAGCAAGAGGGGGUCAUUGUUGAAGAGCACAGCUUCAGGCAAGUCUUUGAAAUCAAAGCCAGAUUUCAAGGAAGUCGGAAGGAGCAGAUGGAGAGGAAGUGGAGAGAUUUCCAUAUGGUGCGUGUAUUUUUUUUUUUAAUUAAGGAUUUUGGUGUUAAAUGGAAGUGGUACUUGAUGGCCUAGCAGGAUGAAACAAAGUUUGUUUCUAAAGAUAGAGGGACAUGGGCUCACUUUUAAAGAGAAAGAAAGUAGGUGGCCAUUGAGUUAUGAGAGGUUGAGAAGCCGGAGAUGGUGGGCCCAGAGACCCACAGAGCAGGCUCUUUGAGAGCAGCAGGUCUUCCUGCUCAGGGCCUUGCUGGUGCUGUCACGAGCCAUAUCCCCUGGCCUCCUGCUUUGCUUCUGGGCUGUCAUCAAUCUGUUUUGUGGUGUUCUCUGAGAAAUGAAAUUAAAUCCUAAGCUCCCAGCCAAAUGAAUGGACCCCCUCUUGGCCAAGGGGCACCCAAAGAAACCUUAGAACUGAGUCCUGGCUGUGACAGGAGGGGAAACACGCCUCAUGAGACCCCCACCUCGCUGACCACCAUCAGGCUCUCCUCCCUGCGGGCUAGAAGCUCCAUACUCAUUUCAGCAACGGCCUGAUGCUGUCCCUCCCUUUUGUGGUUUUGACCAAACAACUAACCAGCAUUCUCUUCCUGAUACAAAGCCGCUGACCUUGGAGUGGUUCUGGUGAGUCUACAGAGGAGGCUCAGUGAGGGUUCUUGUGUCCUCUGCUUCACCUUUUGAUGUCACAUGGCUAAAAACUCCAUCCUUGGAUCAUGCUCAUGCCACCAUUUUUUAAACAUGGGUCCCACAGACAGAGAGGCAUGAAGCUCAGUGUGCAUGUGCCUGUUUCUCCUUUCAUAAAUAUUCAUGACUCCUCCUAGAGCUCAUUGAAUAUGCAUAUUUGGCAGCCCCAUUCAGCAUAAAUCCCUGUCUUAUUCUUCCCACCCUUGAAGUGCCUGUUUCUGGCUUCUGGCCGGAGGCUACACUUCCCAGCCUGUCAGAAGAGCCACCUGCAGGCUGCAGCCCUUUCUGAGAAAUAAUGCCCUCCUUUCCAAAUGCAUGAACUUCAUCAUUCUUCAGCUGAUAUGUCCUUAUCCCAUGUAGAAGGAAGGAUCUUAGUGUUUAUUGAGCGUCAACUUUGUAUAAGGCUCUGGGCUAUCUUAUAUGAUUGUCACAAUAAUUUUAGAAUAUAUUAAUGUGUUCAUUUAUACCUUUAAUUUUUAAAAUUUGCGUUUUUAGUCAAGCAGCUCAAAAAACAUAUAAAAAGAUGUUUAUUGAAAAGUUUCCCUCCUAUGCCUAUUCUCCAUCCAUCCAGUUCUCCCACUUCCCAAUAUUUAGUUGUUUUUAUUAUUUUCUUGUGGACACAUUCCAAAAUUUUAAGCAUAUAAAAUAAACAUAAAAAUAUUAUUUAUCUUUUAUGUAUAAGUUGUGGAGUCUAUAUACACUGUUUUACACCUUGCUUUGUUUCACUUAAAGUUUACCUUGGAAAUCCUCACAUAUCAGUUCACAGAGAGCAGCCUCAUUCUGUUUUACAGUUGCAUAGUUUUGACUGGAUUGAAUGGAUACACCAGAUUUUUUAACCCUGUGUUGUAUAGAUAGAUGUUUGAGUAGUUUGCAGUCAUUAUAUAUUAUGUACACAUAUUUUCCCGCAUGUGAAAAUGCAUUUGUAGGAUACAUUCCCAGAAGUGAAGUUGCUGGGUUAAGGGUAUAUUUAUUUGCAGUUUUGAGUGAUUAUUACUGAGGCCCAUCUUUAGGCUUGCACCAGUUCACACAAUCAUCAGCAACAUACUAGAGGCCUGUUUCUCUGCAUCUUUGCCAACAGAGCAUGUUAUCAGUUUUUUAAAGGUUUCUGUCAGCCUACUAGGAAAAAAAGUAAUAGAGUUAUUUUAAUUUGCAUUUAUUUUUAUUAUGAGUGAGGUUGUCUUUCCACAGGUUUAUGAGCUGUUUGUAUUUCAUUUUCUUUUACUGUCUGGUCUUAUUCCUUUCCUCUUUUCUGGCCAGAUCAUUGGUCAUCUUGUAGAUGAUGUGGUCAAAUCUAUCAGUCUUUCCUUUUGUGACUUCUGCAUUUACAGUUACAGUUAGGGAGCAUCUUUCAAAAUUAUAAAGGAAUUCUUCCAGGUAUUCUAUUACUUUUAGAAAGUCAUUUUUUUCAAACAAGACAAAAUACCCAAAUCGUUUAUCUUUGAAAUUUAUCCUGCUGUGGUAUGAGUUACGGAUCCAAUUUUCUCCCCUAAAUGUUACCAAUUCCAAUAUCAUUUAUUGCCUAAUCUGUCUUUUACUCACUGAUUUGAAAUGCUGCCUUUACCAUACACUGAAUUUCUGUUUGCAUUUGGGUCUAGUUUUAGAUUCAUUAUUCUGAUUAAUUGGCCUGACUUCUUGUUAUUUUAACCAUUAUUCUUUUAAUUAGUCUAUUAAUUUUUGAGGCUUUCUACAUGUAUCCUUAUCUGAUGUAACUUCCACUCCCUCCAAUUUUUUUUUUUUUUGAGAC